GACGAACGCUGGCGGCGUGCCUAAUACAUGCAAGUUGAGCGCUGAAGGUUGGUACUUGUACCGACUGGAUGAGCAGCGAACGGGUGAGUAACGCGUGGGGAAUCUGCCUUUGAGCGGGGGACAACAUUUGGAAACGAAUGCUAAUACCGCAUAAAAACUUUAAACACAAGUUUUAAGUUUGAAAGAUGCAAUUGCAUCACUCAAAGAUGAUCCCGCGUUGUAUUAGCUAGUUGGUGAGGUAAAGGCUCACCAAGGCGAUGAUACAUAGCCGACCUGAGAGGGUGGUCGGCCACAUUGGGACUGAGACACGGCCCAAACUCCUACGGGAGGCAGCAGUAGGGAAUCUUCGGCGAUGGGCGAAAGUCUGACCGAGCAACGCCGCGUGAGUGAAGAAGGUUUUCGGAUCGUAAAACUCUGUUGGUAGAGAAGAACGUUGGUGAGAGUGGAAAGCUCAUCAAGUGACGGUAACUACCCAGAAAGGGACGGCUAACUACGUG
RNAcentral lists this ribosomal RNA (497 nucleotides) under uncultured bacterium. RNAcentral's name for it is "partial 16S ribosomal RNA". It matches the Rfam family "Bacterial small subunit ribosomal RNA", at positions 28 to 507 of the family's 1533-position model. The record is from RNAcentral.